RNAcentral lists this ribosomal RNA (446 nucleotides) under uncultured bacterium. Its description in RNAcentral is "bacterial SSU rRNA". It matches the Rfam family "Bacterial small subunit ribosomal RNA", at positions 937 to 1397 of the family's 1533-position model. The record is from RNAcentral.
GCGUGUGGUUUAAUUCGAGGCUACACGAAGAACCUUACCUGGGCUUGACAUGGCGGUAGUAGCGACCUGAAAGGGGAGCGACCUUCGGGAGCCGUCACAGGUGCUGCAUGGCUGUCGUCAGCUCGUGUCGUGAGAUGUUCGGUUAAGUCCGGUAACGAGCGCAACCCUCGCCGUCAGUUACAAGUGUCUGGCGGGACUGCCCGUUGAACGCGGGAGGAAGGUGGGGAUGACGUCAAGUCAGCAUGGCCUUGAUGUCCAGGGCUACACACACGCUACAAUGGCCGGCACAGCAGGUUGCCAACCCGCGAGGGGGAGCCAAUCCCGCAAAGCCGGUCUCAGUUCGGAUUGCAGGCUGCAACCCGCCUGCAUGAAGUCGGAGUUGCUAGUAAACGCGCAUCAGCCAAGGCGCGUUGAAUACGUUCCCGGGCCUUGUACACACCGCCCGU